Molecule: unclassified non-coding RNA, 301 nt
Filed under: Hevea brasiliensis (rubber tree)
Lineage: Eukaryota; Viridiplantae; Streptophyta; Magnoliopsida; Malpighiales; Euphorbiaceae
Source: RNAcentral
GGCUAUCAACGAAGGCAAGCACAUCGACCCGUUGCUCGAGUGCCUCAAGGAGUGGAACGGCGAGCCCCUUCCCAUCAACUAAGCCAAGAUCCCAUCGCCAUUGCCAUUGCCAUACACCCAUCAUCGAGGAGGAGAGGAGACUAAAAAUAAAAGAAAACGAACCGCUUCGUGUAUCUUCAGACAAAAAAGACCCUGUAUUUUCUUCGUUCGUUGCCGUUUGGUUUAUAGUGAUCUCGUGUUCUUUGUGUUAGCUGCUCUGCUCAGCUUGCCAGCCAUGGCGGCAAAGCAAGCGGCUUUUCUA